This 488-nucleotide ribosomal RNA is filed under the name uncultured bacterium. Its description in RNAcentral is "bacterial SSU rRNA". It matches the Rfam family "Bacterial small subunit ribosomal RNA", at positions 25 to 518 of the family's 1533-position model. The record is from RNAcentral.
CAGGACGAACGCUGGCGGCGUGCUUAACACAUGCAAGUCGAACGAGGGUUAUGGAGAGCUUGCUCGAAGGUAACCCGAGUGGCGGACGGGUGAGUAACGCGUGAGCAACCUGUCUCACACAGGGGGAUAACGCAUCGAAAGAUGUGCUAAUACCGCAUGAGACCACGGAAGGACAUCCUUCAGAGGUCAAAGGAGGAAUCCGGUGUGAGGUGGGCUCGCGUCUGAUUAGAUAGUUGGUGAGGUAACGGCUCACCAAGUCAACGAUCAGUAGCCGACCUGAGAGGGUGAUCGGCCACAUUGGGACUGAGACACGGCCCAGACUCCUACGGGAGGCAGCAGUGGGGAAUAUUGGGCAAUGGGCGCAAGCCCUGACCCAGCAACGCCGCGUGAGGGAAGAAGGUUUUCGGAUUGUAAACCUCUGUCCUGUAUGAAGAGAAGAAGACGGUAGUACAGGAGGAAGCCCCGGCUAACUACGUGCCAGCCGCUGC